RNAcentral lists this non-coding RNA (19 nucleotides) under Arabidopsis thaliana (thale cress). Lineage: Eukaryota; Viridiplantae; Streptophyta; Magnoliopsida; Brassicales; Brassicaceae. RNAcentral also lists the same sequence under 3 other names. The record is from RNAcentral.
GUAACUAUGACUCUCUUAA